CUGCUCACCACAACAGGUUUUCUGCACAGAUUAAAAAAGUAGCAGCGAACCUAAUCAUCUUCAACAAUUUUAACAAAAGACAAAAGCCAGCCAUGUCUGAGGC
This is a long non-coding RNA of Dicentrarchus labrax (European seabass), 103 nucleotides long. RefSeq lists it as uncharacterized. The record is from RefSeq and is a predicted model, not a curated record. The transcript has 3 exons. NCBI's taxonomy places the organism in Eukaryota, Metazoa, Chordata, Actinopteri, Moronidae.